This 767-nucleotide long non-coding RNA is filed under the name Vulpes vulpes (red fox). RNAcentral describes it as "lncRNA (ENSVVUG00000002893.1)". Lineage: Eukaryota; Metazoa; Chordata; Mammalia; Carnivora; Canidae. The record is from RNAcentral.
GCCCUUUGUAGCCAACCCUACCCUUCAUCCUCAGUCCCUGGCAACCACUCAUCCAUUGUCUGUUUCUAUGGCUUUACCUUUCUUCUUCUAUGACAUCUUGAAUGCUGAAGUUCAAUAUCAUUCUAGUUGUGAGGGUCCUUGUUAGUAUUACACAAGAUGUGUGAUAACCUAUAAACUAUUUUUAAAAGGAUUAGGCAAAAAUAAGUAAGUGCAAGAGAACUGGAAAAGAAAAGACAGGAUAUAGGGAAGGGAAAAAGAAAGACCAAAAGAAGGGUGUAUAGUUGUGAUAGAAGGUGCUUUGAUGUUGCUGUCCACGCUGUUUGAAAACCUUGUCUGUCAGAGCGGUGAGCAGACCCAUGGCGCUGAUUGGAAACUUUGUUCAAGGUGUGCACAAAAGAGUGUCCAUUUGGGUAGAUGGUGAAGAUACCUCUAGAGCUAUUAAUACGCAAGAGGAUGACAUCAUUCCUAUUCAGGAGAUUUGAAGUGGCGUCCACAUCUGCUUUGCAUAUACUCUAUUCCUCCUGUUUAGAAUGGCUUCCUUCUCAGCCCUUGUGCACCUGGAGAAUUGCUAAGUCAUCUUCUGUGAAUCCACCCAAAUGUUGCCUCUUGAACAUGUUCCUGUGGUUCAACUAUUAUGCUUUCUAACGUGAACUGGGCCAUAGAACACUGUAUAGUCUGGAAUACGGUUAUAUUUUCUAGUUAUAUCACAGUUCAUUGAUGUGUCUUACCAGAGGAACAGUAAUAAAUGACCUUGGGCAAGGGACCCA